This 2784-nucleotide long non-coding RNA is filed under the name Equus caballus (horse). Its description in RNAcentral is "lncRNA (ENSECAG00000036338.3)". Lineage: Eukaryota; Metazoa; Chordata; Mammalia; Perissodactyla; Equidae. The record is from RNAcentral.
AAAGCAACACUGUGCUUAAAAAGUGACAUACCUUAUUAGAGAGACAGCACAAAAAAAUCGUGCAAUUGUUUUACAAGAUGGAAAAUCACAGAAACUACUUCUAUUCUCUAUCUUCUCUGCAAAAGAGAACUAAAUUCUCUGCGGGCCGCAGAACAGGUUUAUAUCCGCCCUGUUCACCAAGGACAGGGCCUCCCCUGCUCCCUGAAGUCUUGUCCAAAUGGUCUGGCUGGACAGUCGCUGCCACCAAAGAAAAGCUGGGCUGCGACACUUACUGGGAGGAGCUGGUUUGCAACCUGGAGGAUGAGGGGUGGGAGGAACAGAGAUGCUGAGAACUCUCAAGCAAAUUUUUUAGCAAAAAAAGCACCUCUAUAAAAGUUGCCAUGCACAGAACAUGUGAAAGGGGUUCGGUGUGUAGAGAGCAGAGUUUAUGAAUGGGGCACACCUUGUGGUCAGACACAGAAGUAAGCCUGCCAUUUGGCCAGCAAGUGGCUUAACGUGUUCUCCCCGCACCUUCCCUUGUAACCUGGGAUGUGUUAAAUUUAUCAGGCUGCAGAAGGAGCCGUGUUCAUCCUCAGAGGGUUCCAGCCACCCUUCUCCAGGUCACCUCUCUGUGCCCCCAAAAGAUGAAGCACUGGGCUCUAGUGGAGCCAAAGCAAGAGGGCUGCCCCCACCCCACAAGGGCUCCGCACAGACCCGCUGUCUCCUCCCCACCUCCAUCCUGGGGCCGCCUCCACUCUGUCCACCCUGGAUCGUGCAACCAGGUGUCUACCCUGACAGUUCUCCUAAGGGGGAGCAGCAGGGCCCUCAGUGGAGCGUGUGGUCCCACCAGGUUGGAAGAGAGGACCCAUCUGUCUCCUUAGCCCCUACUGUCACCCCAAUACAGGCACAGAAAAACACACUGCACUUGAGAAGAAGACCAUUCCUGGUGUUUCCAGAAGUAAGCACAGCACAAUAAGGCAGGACGUAAAGAUGAGCCUACAGCUGAACAAAGAAUAGUCAAAGGAAAAAUAAGCUGAACCAGGAGUGACACUGACGCUCUCCACACACACCCUUCAGUCCCAAAGGUCUCCUAACAGGGGCCGUGCACCUGCACCUAAGUUUUUGAGAAACCGGGGUGAAAGGGCAACAAUGGUCCUGAUUCGUGGUAUGGAAACAAAUAGCACAACUGAGACAAACGAGAUAGAGCGCACCUCAGCCCUUCCAGGUUCCGAGAUAAGAAUUCUCUCCUGCAGGCCCCCAGCCAAGGAACUGAUGCCAGGGAAACAGAGAGAGUCUCGCAGCUCCGACAACAGUGACUUUCCUGGGCUGAUCGCUGUAAUGGCUUCAGUUGCUAAAAUGCAAUUCAGAAAAGAGCAAUCUUUAUUCCUUCAACAUUGAAGACCACAUCCCAUGUGCCCAGCCUGUGCUAGCAGUGGAUACACGCUGGAGAAGAGGAGAGCCUCGAGAUGUCAUAGGGCAUCAGGGGAGACGGGCAGCAAAUCACAGGUCAAUGUCCACAUGCACAGUGGAACUAGCAUACGGAAGAGCAUGAACAGUGAUGAAGUGGGCAACCACACCAGCCACCAGUGACAUCACAGACAGUCUACAUGAUGUGACGACGGUUGUUGCUGGUCUCUCGAAAUACCCUUCAGGCUCAGCACUACCUCAGGACUGCGGUGGGUCCCAAGCCUGCAACCGGGUCUUGUAAUCUAAUGUGUUGCUCUAAAAAAUCCUAUAUAUUUUGUGUUGAGAAAUUUCAUUCUGAGAAGAGGCUCAAAGGCUCCAAGCAGAGGUCUCUGGGAAAUCAAUCAGUCAAUAAAAAGAAUGGCAAUAAAAUUAAGAAGCUCUGCCCUUGAACAAUUGUUCUCACCAUUCUUUAGUGUAAUGGAUGGAUGAAGUAAGAAUCUUUCUGAUUUAUCCAUUAAUGCCAUUUCUUGCAAAUGACCUUUUGAUAAUAAGAGAAUAGCAGUGGGUUCCAAAGCAAUUCACCACAAGAAAAUAGAAAAAAAAGGAGAAAACCAUCUCUAUAGAAUUUAAAAAAAUGGUAAAAUUCAAUAUCUACUUAUCAUCAAAAACUUCUGGAAAACUAUGAGUAGAGGAGCAUGCUCUCAACCUGAUGAAGGACAUCUUCAGGAAAUCUACAUAAACAUCCUACUUGAAUGUAAAACCUAGACGUUUCCUCUCUGAGGUGGAGAAUCUUGCCUGUCCUCACCACUUCUGUUCAACAUGGCCCUGGAAGGUCUAGACACUUCAAUAAGGCAAGAAAAAGAAAUAAAAGGCACAAAGAUUGGUAUAAAAGAAAGAAAACUGUCAUUAUUGACAGAUGAUGUAACUUUAUAAGUAUAAAAUCCAGGAGAAUCUAUAGAUAAGUUAUUAGAAUUAAUGAGUGAAUUUAAGAAGGUUACUGGAUUGUGGUCAAUAUAUAAAAAUCAAUUGGAUAUUUUUCUCCUGGCAGCAAACAGAAAUAAUUUAAGAAAAAAAAGAUAAUGUAGCAGAUGCUUGCCGUGCUCUGUGCUACAUCCUAUCCACCAACCUGAUUUCAGCACAGCUGUGGUGGACAGUUCCACACACGUGGUCGUGUCCUACAUCAAGCACACACUGUGGGGUCUGCUUCUCCGCUCAGGGAAUUCAUCCAAGAUGCAGAAGUCCUCUCAGUCUGUGCACAGAGACACCCCAGAAGUGCAGGAACAGUAAUACCUUGGGAGGCCACCCUCAACCAUUCGAGGAAUGGGGUUGUUGGCAAAAUUCCCAGCCCGUCCUUUGGUGGGAAAAUCCUGGGACCCAUUCUCCAAUUUCUGUGAAACC